RNAcentral lists this ribosomal RNA (323 nucleotides) under uncultured Spirochaetota bacterium. RNAcentral's name for it is "bacterial SSU rRNA". It matches the Rfam family "Bacterial small subunit ribosomal RNA", at positions 28 to 351 of the family's 1533-position model. Lineage: Bacteria; Pseudomonadati; Spirochaetota. The record is from RNAcentral.
GACGAACGCUGGCGGCGUGGAUUAGGCAUGCAAGUCGAACGGUAGAGUGCUUUCGGGCACUUGAGAGUGGCGAACGGGUGAGUAACACGUAGGUUAUCUACCCUCAAAUUGGGGACAACCCAGGGAAACUUGGGCUAAUACCGAAUGAGUGCAUCAGCGAUGAUGCAUAAAAGAUGGCGUAAGCUGUUGUUUGAGGAUGAGCCUGCGCUCUAUUAGUUAGUUGGUGAGGUAACGGCUUACCAAGGCGAUGAUAGAUAGGCGGCCUUAACGGGUGGUCGCCCACACUGGGAUUGAGAUACGGCCCAGACUCCUACGGGUGGCAG